CUCCCUGGCAGGCAGGACCUUACCAACAGGGAUGACAUUUCUUCAGCCUGGGAGCAAGCACGGUCCUUCCUUCCCCAUCAGGUGUGCGUGGCCGCCUGGCGGGAGGAGGCACAGAUUAACUGCAGGGAAAGACCUGGAGCUUGGUGGAGAGGAGUGCUGAGAACGUUCUUCUCCUAGGAACAAAGAAUCUGACCGGGGCUUUUAGUCCAUUUUAUAUCAGGCUUCUGCUUGUUCUUAGACUUGCAAAAGAGACCCAACGUGGUGCGAGUUUUGCACGGGAGAGUAGAGUUGGACGGUCAGCUGGGGUUUCCGUAGGUCAUACAGCAGCAUGCUCCUAUGUCCAGGGCUGAAAUUUGGUACUGCUUUUCUGUUCUGGAACCCACCAUCAAGGCCCAUCUGGGUUUAAAAGCGAAGCUAUAAGAAUCACUGCAGCUGAAGGACAAAUCCCCCGUGUCCCCUCUGCCAGGGGGUGCUCAUCAAAGGACAGCCAAGGAAGACAAAGUGCCGAGAUGCGUGCGCCCGUCCGGUGUGGUCGAGACUGCCAAUGCCAAGUGUGCAAAGGCCUAUUUAUUUUUUAUUUUAUUUUAUUUUUUAUUUUUGGGUAGCAGGAAUUGAACCCAGGUGUGCUUAACCCCUGAGCCACAUCCCCACUCCUUUUUAUUUUAUUUUUUUUUAUUUUGAGACAGGGUCUCGCGAAGUUGCUCAAGUCCUCUCUAAGUUGCUGAGGCCGGCCUGGAACUUGCCAUCCUCCUGCCUCAGCCUCCUGAACUGCUGGGAUCACAGGCAGGGGUCGCCCCACCAGGCUCCAAUGGCAUCUUGACCAGACUUUUCUCAAAGGCGCUGGGGUCUCGGGGUUGGCAAACCAGGCUCCGGGGACACCUCUCUGACCUGUUGCCGGUGUUUAAUGAAGCCUUCUUUGGAGCUCAGGCACCCCAGUUGAUGUACUUUCUGUGGCUGCUUGUCACCGCAUCAAGGAGUUGUGACAGACCAUGCCGCCUGCCCAGGCUGAACCAUUUAUGAUCUGGCCCCUUCUAGAAAAAGUUUGGAUGCCCGAUGCCCCUCACCCCGUUCACUGUGUAUCUAUCAAGAUCACCUCAGUGUCAGUCGAGGAUCGGGGUCAGCUCUCCCUCUGGCUGCUACCUGGAGAAGGUGUGGACGUGGCAGGAACCGCAGGCUUGGGGUCCGCCUUUACUCACUACGUCAAUGCUGUACGGUCGACGUGGGCGACUUCUGCUUCCACGUCAACAGAUGGACCCCUUUGGCCACCAGCUGGUGUUUGGGAGGAGCAAGUGAGAGAAUAUUUAUCCCAGAACCUAAGAGUCAUAUGAUUGUCUGAAACAAAAGUGCCGGUGGAGUUGCCUAUGAGAAAGCCAACCUUCCAGAAUCUUCCAUUGUACAAGAGUCACCGUCAAAGACCUCGGAGAGGUACAGUAGAGAGUCCUGCCCUAUUCCCCCUGCUUACCCUGACACGGGCAGCCACAGCCUUGCAGACUGAACUUGAAGGUGGUAUUGGCCCAUUCUGUGAUCUCCCAUGAAGCCGCAUUACUCCGAGUUAUCCCCAGGAUCCAGGACAUUGCUCUUUUAAAAAAUGUAAUUUGUUUCAGCACAUUAAAAAGCAUAUUCAUGUCAGGACUCAGGGUUGCUGCAGAUAGCACUUUUCAUCUGUUAGGAACUUGCGUACAUUAAUUUAUUUAGCUUUCUUAUAACAGGGAACUUUUUUCCUCAUUGGCUACAGGAUACAUUUCUUUUUCUAAUUCUAUUCAUUUAGUAGGUGUUCUACUGUAAAAUCGUCUCCCUGUUAGGGCUGUUUCACAGAGCGGGAAAUAAAUCUUUUAAUGCAGUAUAAAAUCCCACUGCGAUAGAUGGUCAUUUCCUCAGCACGUAAAUUUCUCUUUUCAUGAUUAAGCAAUAUUCUGGGGGGAAAAAAAAGUUAAAGCUUCUCGAAAGCUGUAGGAACCGUCGCUGUACGGCAGCUGCGACAGCCAUUCUUAGGGUGUGCCCUGUUUUUAAUGGGUUACCCAUGUUACUUUCUGG
Ictidomys tridecemlineatus (thirteen-lined ground squirrel) is the source of this 2034-nucleotide long non-coding RNA. The record is from Ensembl. Lineage: Eukaryota; Metazoa; Chordata; Mammalia; Rodentia; Sciuridae.